This 1287-nucleotide ribosomal RNA is filed under the name metagenome. RNAcentral's name for it is "bacterial SSU rRNA". It matches the Rfam family "Bacterial small subunit ribosomal RNA", at positions 242 to 1520 of the family's 1533-position model. The record is from RNAcentral.
UAGCUAGUUGGUGAGGUAACGGCUUACCAAGGCGACGAUCUGUAGCGGGUCUGAGAGGAUGAUCCGCCACACUGGAACUGAGACACGGUCCAGACUCCUACGGGAGGCAGCAGUGGGGAAUUUUGGACAAUGGGGGCAACCCUGAUCCAGCCAUGCCGCGUGAGUGAAGAAGGCCUUCGGGUUGUAAAGCUCUUUCGGCCGGGAAGAAAUCGCAUGGGCCAAUACCCUGUGUGGAUGACGGUACCGGAAUAAGAAGCACCGGCUAACUACGUGCCAGCAGCCGCGGUAAUACGUAGGGUGCGAGCGUUAAUCGGAAUUACUGGGCGUAAAGCGUGCGCAGGCGGUUUUGUAAGACAGGCGUGAAAUCCCCGGGCUCAACCUGGGAACUGCGUUUGUGACUGCAAGGCUAGAGUACGGCAGAGGGGGGUGGAAUUCCACGUGUAGCAGUGAAAUGCGUAGAGAUGUGGAGGAACACCAAUGGCGAAGGCAGCCCCCUGGGUCGAUACUGACGCUCAUGCACGAAAGCGUGGGUAGCAAACAGGAUUAGAUACCCUGGUAGUCCACGCCCUAAACUAUGUCAACUAGGUGUUGGGUGGGUAAAACCAUUUAGUACCGUAGCUAACGCGUGAAGUUGACCGCCUGGGGAGUACGGCCGCAAGGUUAAAACUCAAAGGAAUUGACGGGGACCCGCACAAGCGGUGGAUGAUGUGGAUUAAUUCGAUGCAACGCGAAAAACCUUACCUACCCUUGACAUGCCAGGAACUUGCCAGAGAUGGCUUGGUGCCCGAAAGGGAGCCUGGACACAGGUGCUGCAUGGCUGUCGUCAGCUCGUGUCGUGAGAUGUUGGGUUAAGUCCCGCAACGAGCGCAACCCUUGUCGUUAAUUGCCAUCAUUUAGUUGGGCACUUUAGCGAGACUGCCGGUGACAAACCGGAGGAAGGUGGGGAUGACGUCAAGUCCUCAUGGCCCUUAUGGGUAGGGCUUCACACGUCAUACAAUGGUCGGUACAAAGGGUCGCCAAGCCGCGAGGUGGAGCCAAUCCCAGAAAGCCGAUCGUAGUCCGGAUUGCAGGCUGCAACUCGCCUGCAUGAAGUCGGAAUCGCUAGUAAUCGUGGAUCAGCAUGUCACGGUGAAUACGUUCCCGGGUCUUGUACACACCGCCCGUCACACCAUGGGAGCGGGUUCCGCCAGAAGUAGGUAGCCUAACCGUAAGGAGGGCGCUUACCACGGCGGGGUUCGUGACUGGGGUGAAGUCGGAACAAGGUAGCCGUAGGGGAACCUGCGGCUG